UACGGAGGGUGCAAGCGUUAAUCGGAAUUACUGGGCGUAAAGCGUGCGUAGGCGGUUCGUUAAGUCUGUUGUGAAAGCCCCGGGCUCAACCUGGGAAUGGCAAUGGAUACUGGCGAGCUAGAGUGUGUCAGAGGAUGGUGGAAUUCCCGGUGUAGCGGUGAAAUGCGUAGAGAUCGGGAGGAACAUCAGUGGCGAAGGCGGCCAUCUGGGACAACACUGACGCUGAGGCACGAAAGCGUGGGGAGCAAACA
RNAcentral lists this ribosomal RNA (251 nucleotides) under uncultured bacterium. Its description in RNAcentral is "partial 16S ribosomal RNA". It matches the Rfam family "Bacterial small subunit ribosomal RNA", at positions 524 to 774 of the family's 1533-position model. The record is from RNAcentral.